GGGGGUAUAGCUCAGUGGCAGAGGACACAUUUAGCAUUCAUGAGGUCCUUGGUUCAAUCCCCAGUACUUCCA
RNAcentral lists this transfer RNA (72 nucleotides) under Camelus ferus (Wild Bactrian camel). It matches the Rfam family "tRNA". From Rfam's summary of the family: Transfer RNA (tRNA) molecules are approximately 80 nucleotides in length. Lineage: Eukaryota; Metazoa; Chordata; Mammalia; Artiodactyla; Camelidae. The record is from Rfam by way of RNAcentral.